GACGAACGCUGGCGGCGUGCCUAAUACAUGCAAGUAGAACGCUGACUACUUUAGCUUGCUAGAGUAGAAGGAGUUGCGAACGGGUGAGUAACGCGUAGGUAACCUGCCUACUAGCGGGGGAUAACUAUUGGAAGCGAUAGCUAAUACCGCAUAACAGUGUUUAACACAUGUUAGAUGCUUGAAAGAUGCAAUUGCAUCACUAGUUGAUGGACCUGCGUUGUAUUAGCUAGUUGGCGGGGUAACGGCCCACCAAGGCGACGAUCAGUAGCCGGACUGAGAGGGUGAACGGCCACAUUGGGACUGAGACACGGCCCAA
This 316-nucleotide ribosomal RNA is filed under the name uncultured bacterium. Its description in RNAcentral is "bacterial SSU rRNA". It matches the Rfam family "Bacterial small subunit ribosomal RNA", at positions 28 to 334 of the family's 1533-position model. The record is from RNAcentral.